CUCCAUGUGUAGCGGUGGAAUGCGUAGAUAUAUGGAAGAACACCAGUGGCGAAGGCGGCUGUCUAGUCUGUAACUGACGCUGAGGCUCGAAAGCAUGGGUAGCGAACAGGAUUAGAUACCCUGGUAGUCCAUGCCGUAAACGAUGAGUGCUAAGUGUUGGAGGGUUUCCCCCUUCAGUGCUGCAGCUAACGCAUUAAGCACUCCGCCUGGGGAGUACGACCGCAAGGUUGAAACUCAAAGGAAUUGACGGGGGCCCGCACAAGCGGUGGAGCAUGUGGUUUAAUUCGAAGCUACGCGAAGAACCUUACCAGGUCUUGACAUCUUCUGCCAAUCUUAGAGAUAAGACGUUCCCUUCGGGGACAGAAUGACAGGUGGUGCAUGGUUGUCGUCAGCUCGUGUCGUGAGAUGUUGGGUUAAGUCCCGCAACGAGCGCAACCCUUAUUAUCAGUUGCCAGCAUUCAGUUGGGCACUCUGGUGAGACUGCCGGUGACAAACCGGAGGAAGGUGGGGAUGACGUCAAAUCAUCAUGCCCCUUAUGACCUGGGCUACACACGUGCUACAAUGGACGGUACAACGAGUCGCGAAGUCGUGAGGCUAAGCUAAUCUCUUAAAGCCGUUCUCAGUUCGGAUUGUAGGCUGCAACUCGCCUACAUGAAGUUGGAAUCGCUAGUAAUCGCGGAUCAGCAUGCCGCGGUGAAUACGUUCCCGGGCCUUGUACACACCGCCCGUCACACCAUGAGAGUUUGUAACACCCAAAGCCGGUGAGAUAACCUUCGGGAGUCAGCCGUCUAAGGUGGGACAGAUGAUUAGGGUGAAGUCGUAACAAGGUAACCA
This 834-nucleotide ribosomal RNA is filed under the name uncultured Lactobacillus sp. Its description in RNAcentral is "bacterial SSU rRNA". It matches the Rfam family "Bacterial small subunit ribosomal RNA", at positions 667 to 1502 of the family's 1533-position model. Lineage: Bacteria; Bacillati; Bacillota; Bacilli; Lactobacillales; Lactobacillaceae. The record is from RNAcentral.